UACAGAGGUGGCAAGCGUUGUUCGGAAUUACUGGGCGUAAAGGGCGCGUAGGCGGUCUUCUAAGUCCUGUGUGAAAUCCCUCGGCUCAACUGAGGAACUGCACGGGAUACUGGAAGACUUGAGUUCGGGAGAGGGAAGCGGAAUUCCGGGUGUAGCGGUGAAAUGCGUAGAUAUCGGGAGGAACACCAAUGGCGAAGGCAGCUCGCUGGGACGUUACUGACGCUGAGACGCGAAAGCGUGGGGAGCAAACAGG
RNAcentral lists this ribosomal RNA (253 nucleotides) under uncultured bacterium. RNAcentral's name for it is "partial 16S ribosomal RNA". It matches the Rfam family "Bacterial small subunit ribosomal RNA", at positions 524 to 776 of the family's 1533-position model. The record is from RNAcentral.